Molecule: ribosomal RNA, 484 nt
Filed under: uncultured bacterium
Lineage: Bacteria
Description: partial 16S ribosomal RNA
Rfam family: Bacterial small subunit ribosomal RNA
Source: RNAcentral
AUUGAACGCUGGCGGCAGGCCUAACACAUGCAAGUCGAGCGGAUGAAGGGAGCUUGCUCCUGGAUUCAGCGGCGGACGGGCGAGUAAUGCCUAGGAAUCUGCCUGGUAGUGGGGGAUAACGUCCGGAAACGGGCGCUAAUACCGCAUACGUCCUGAGGGAGAAAGUGGGGGAUCUUCGGACCUCACGCUAUCAGAUGAGCCUAGGUCGGAUUAGCUAGUUGGUGGGGUAAAGGCCUACCAAGGCGACGAUCCGUAACUGGUCUGAGAGGAUGAUCAGUCACACUGUAACUGAGACACGGUCCAGACUCCUACGGGAUGCAGCAGUGGGGAAUAUUGGACAAUGGGCGAAAGCCUGAUCCAGCCAUGCCGCGUGUGUGAAGAUGGUCUUCGGAUUGUAAAGCACUUUAAGUUGGGAGGAAGGGCAGUAAGUUAAUACCUUGCUGUUUUGACGUUACCAACAGAAUAAGCACCGGCUAACUUCGUG